GCCCGGGUAGCUCAGUUGGUAGAGCACGUGACUGAAAAUCACGGUGUCGGCGGUUCGAUUCCGUCCCCGGGCA
Molecule: transfer RNA, 73 nt
Organism: Novosphingobium sp. Fuku2-ISO-50
Lineage: Bacteria; Pseudomonadati; Pseudomonadota; Alphaproteobacteria; Sphingomonadales; Sphingomonadaceae
Rfam family: tRNA
About the family: Transfer RNA (tRNA) molecules are approximately 80 nucleotides in length. Their secondary structure includes four short double-helical elements and three loops (D, anti-codon, and T loops).
Source: Rfam